Molecule: transfer RNA, 73 nt
Filed under: Thermoplasmata archaeon
Lineage: Archaea; Methanobacteriati; Thermoplasmatota; Thermoplasmata
Description: tRNA-Gln
Rfam family: tRNA
About the family: Transfer RNA (tRNA) molecules are approximately 80 nucleotides in length. Their secondary structure includes four short double-helical elements and three loops (D, anti-codon, and T loops).
Source: RNAcentral
AGCCCCGUAGUGUAGUGGUCAAUCAUUCGGGCCUUUGGAGCCCGAGACGGCAGUUCGAAUCUGCCCGGGGCUA